AGAGUUUGAUCCUGGCUCAGGAUGAACGCUAGCGACAGGCUUAACACAUGCAAGUCGAGGGGCAUCGAGGGAGUGGCAACACUUCUGUCGGCGACCGGCGCACGGGUGAGUAACGCGUAUGCAACCUGCCCUUCACAGGGGGAUAACCGGGAGAAAUUCCGACUAAUACCGCAUACGUCCUCCGGGGGCAUCCCCGGGGGAUGAAAGAAUUAUCGGUGAAGGAUGGGCAUGCGUGAUAUUAGGUAGUUGGCGGGGCAACGGCCCACCAAGCCCACGAUAUCUAGGGGUUCUGAGAGGAAGGUCCCCCACAUUGGUACUGAGACACGGACCAAACUCCUACGGGAGGCAGCAGUGAGGAAUAUUGGUCAAUGGACGAGAGUCUGAACCAGCCAAGUCGCGUGAAGGAAGACGGAUCUAUGGUUUGUAAACUUCUUUAGUGCGGGAACAAAGCGGUGUCGUGACGCCGGAUGAGUGUACCGCAAGAAUAAGCAUCGGCUAACUCCGUGCCAGCAGCCGCGGUAAUACGGAGGAUUCGAGCGUUAUCCGGAUUUAUUGGGUUUAAAGGGAGCGCAGGCUGCGAGGCAAGUCAGCGGUCAAAUGUCGGGGCUCAACCCCGGCCUGCCGUUGAAACUGUCCUGCUAGAGUUCGAGUGAGGUAUGCGGAAUGCGUUGUGUAGCGGUGAAAUGCAUAGAUAUGACGCAGAACUCCGAUUGCGAAGGCAGCAUACCAACUCGCGACUGACGCUGAGGCUCGAAAGCGUGGGUAUCGAACAGGAUUAGAUACCCUGGUAGUCCACGCAGUAAACGAUGAAUACUAACUGUUCGGAGGGCGACCUC
Molecule: ribosomal RNA, 836 nt
Filed under: human gut metagenome
Description: bacterial SSU rRNA
Rfam family: Bacterial small subunit ribosomal RNA
Source: RNAcentral